Molecule: long non-coding RNA, 266 nt
Organism: Carassius gibelio (silver crucian carp)
Lineage: Eukaryota; Metazoa; Chordata; Actinopteri; Cypriniformes; Cyprinidae
Exons: 3
Source: RefSeq, a predicted model, not a curated record
GCGGAAACUGCUGGCUAGGUAGCUGUUGAACUGGCUUCUGAAGCGGAAACUGCUGGCUAGUUAGCUGUUGAACUGGCUUCUGAAGCGGAAACUGCUGGCUAGUUAGCUGUUGAACUGGCUUCUGAAGCGGAAACUGCUGGCUAGUUAGCUGUUGAACUGGCUUCUGAAGCGGAAACUGCUGGCUAGUUAGCUGUUGAACUGGCUUCUGAAGCGGAAACUGCUGGCUAGUUAGCUGUUGAACUGGCUUCUGAAGCGGAAACUGCUGG